RNAcentral lists this ribosomal RNA (28 nucleotides) under Megalophaedusa rex. RNAcentral's name for it is "partial 5.8S rRNA". Lineage: Eukaryota; Metazoa; Mollusca; Gastropoda; Stylommatophora; Clausiliidae. The record is from RNAcentral.
GAGAAACCAGGAAAGAAAUGGGAAAAAA